AGAGUUUGAUCAUGGCUCAGGACGAACGCUGGCGGCGUGCCUAACACAUGCAAGUCGAACGGGACCGGGGGCAACUCCGGUUCAGUGGCAGAUGGGUGCGUAACGCGUGAGGAACUUGUCCAACGGUGGGGGAUAGCCGGCCCAACGGCCGGGUAAUACCGCAUACGCUCGUUCGGGGGCAUCCCUGGGCGAGGAACGCAGCCGCAAGGUUGCGCCGAUGGAGAGCCUCGCGACCUAUCAGCUAGUUGGCGGGGUAACGGCCCACCAAGGCGACGACGGGUAGCUGGUCUGAGAGGAUGGCCAGCCACAUUGGGACUGAGACACGGCCCAGACUCCUACGGGAGGCAGCAGUGGGGAAUAUUGCGCAAUGGCCGAAAGGCUGACGCAGCGACGCCGCGUGUGGGAUGACGGCCCUCGGGUUGUAAGCCACUGUCGGGGGGGACGAAUACGGGGCCUCGAAUAGGGGACCCUGGGUGACGGUACCUCCAAAGGAAGCACCGGCUAACUCCGUGCCAGCAGCCGCGGUAAUACGGAGGGUGCGAGCGUUGUCCGGAAUCACUGGGCGUAAAGGGCGCGUAGGCGGUCCGUUAAGUUGCUGGUGAAAUCCCGGGGCUCAACUCCGGGGCUGCCGGCAAGACUGGCGGGCUCGAGCACGGUAGAGGCAGAUGGAAUUCCCGGUGUAGCGGUGGAAUGCGUAGAUAUCGGGAAGAAUACCGGUGGCGAAGGCGUUCUGCUGGGCCGUUGCUGACGCUGAGGCGCGACAGCGUGGGGAGCAAACAGGAUUAGAUACCCUAGUAGUCC
Molecule: ribosomal RNA, 801 nt
Filed under: uncultured bacterium
Lineage: Bacteria
Description: bacterial SSU rRNA
Rfam family: Bacterial small subunit ribosomal RNA
Source: RNAcentral